This 325-nucleotide long non-coding RNA is filed under the name Mytilus galloprovincialis (Mediterranean mussel). The record is from RNAcentral. Lineage: Eukaryota; Metazoa; Mollusca; Bivalvia; Mytilida; Mytilidae.
UGUCUAUAGCAAUGAACCAAUAAUAUAGUUCAAAUGAAGUUCACUUAUUAACUAUCAAUUGAUAAAAACAGCGAAAUUUUAAAUGAAACAACAUAACGUGAAAUUUUGCCCAUUUUCAGCGUGUAUUUUAGUGUUUUUUUUCAAAACGGUAACACCUAUACAUAAUAUUUGAUAUUCAUUGUGAAGCCCUACAUUCUCUUCUUCAGUUCAAAGAUGUAUUACUUAUGUAAAGUUUAUCUUCUUGUCUUUACAAGCCUAUAACAUAGACCCAAUAUGAAAUGCACAUCUGAUCUUGGCUAGGCCGUUUGUUUUUAACUGGACUUUC